Molecule: non-coding RNA, 71 nt
Organism: Aspergillus fumigatus Af293
Lineage: Eukaryota; Fungi; Ascomycota; Eurotiomycetes; Eurotiales; Aspergillaceae
Source: the annotation of a RefSeq genome assembly
CUUGCUUCAAUUGCUUUGAUCUUCGACUUGCGAGUCAGAGGAUCAAUAGAGGCACUACCCUGAUCAAUUGC